GCCAGUGUGGUGUAGUGGUUUGAGUGUUGGACUAUGACACUGGAGACCAGGGUACAAAUCCCUGCUCAGCCA
This 72-nucleotide transfer RNA is filed under the name Phrynosoma platyrhinos (Desert horned lizard). RNAcentral's name for it is "tRNA-OTHER". Lineage: Eukaryota; Metazoa; Chordata; Lepidosauria; Squamata; Phrynosomatidae. The record is from RNAcentral.